Molecule: ribosomal RNA, 253 nt
Filed under: uncultured bacterium
Lineage: Bacteria
Description: partial 16S ribosomal RNA
Rfam family: Bacterial small subunit ribosomal RNA
Source: RNAcentral
UACGAAGGGUGCAAACGUUGCUCGGAAUCAUUGGGCGUAAAGCGCACGUAGGCGGCUCAGUAAGUCGGACGUGAAAUCCCUCGGCUCAACCGAGGACGUGCAUCCGAAACUACUGUGCUCGAGUAUGGAAGAGGGUCGCGGAAUUCUCGGUGUAGAGGUGAAAUUCGUAGAUAUCGGGAGGAACACCAGUGGCGAAGGCGGCGACCUGGGCCAAUACUGACGCUGAGGUGCGAAAGCGUGGGGAGCAAACAGG